GUGACAGUGCUGUGUGUGUGUGUGUGCCUUAACUGUCGAUGCUUUGAACUGAAAUUUGCAUGCGGGCUUCGAUUACUGCCUCGAUAACAGCUUUGAGGGAAGGCAGCUUCCAUUGUUGGAUCUGUCUCAUAAGCAAGCACAAGGGGCUGUUCCAUAGAUAGGCAAAUUAAAGCCCACUUAGAAGGCAGCAAUAAAAUCGUUGCCAAUAAACUGAAGAAUGGGGCUGCUUCUGCGACAGCUGUGCGUAGUUUCGACAGCUAUGGAAAUAAAAGCAAAUACUGGGAAAUAUCACAGACCUAUGCUAUAUGUGCAGCAGCCAGCCCACCCCAGCAGCAUUCUCUCAAGCCGCACGAACAACAACAAGCGCUGGGGCCAAACAAAAUAAACAAAAAUUAUGACAAGCGGCAGCGAAAAAAAAACAUACAAAAUAAGAAUAAUAAAAAUGCUAAAGAAAAA
Molecule: long non-coding RNA, 456 nt
Organism: Drosophila montana
Lineage: Eukaryota; Metazoa; Arthropoda; Insecta; Diptera; Drosophilidae
Exons: 2
Source: RefSeq, a predicted model, not a curated record